UACAUAGGUGGCAGGCGUUGUCCGGAAUAACUGGGCGUAAAGAGAGCGUAGGCGGUGGAUCAAGUUGAUUGUGAAAUCCCGUGGCUUAACCACGGAACUGCAGUCAAAACUGGUUUACUAGAGUUCGGAAGAGGAAGGUGGAAUUCCUAGUGUAGCGGUGGAAUGCGUAGAUAUUAGGAGGAACAUCGGAGGCGAAGGCGGCCUUCUGGGACGAAACUGACGCUGAGGCCCGAAAGUAUGGGGAGCAAAC
RNAcentral lists this ribosomal RNA (250 nucleotides) under uncultured prokaryote. Its description in RNAcentral is "partial 16S ribosomal RNA". It matches the Rfam family "Bacterial small subunit ribosomal RNA", at positions 524 to 773 of the family's 1533-position model. The record is from RNAcentral.